UUAUGGCCAUAUCACUUUGAAACACUUGUUCUCGUACAAUCACCGAAGUUAAGCAACCUCAUGACUUGUAAGUAACAAGAUGGUUGAUCGUUUGCGAAAUCCAGGUGCUGUAAG
This is a non-coding RNA of Acanthosepion pharaonis, 114 nucleotides long. NCBI's taxonomy places the organism in Eukaryota, Metazoa, Mollusca, Cephalopoda, Sepiida, Sepiidae. The record is from the annotation of a GenBank genome assembly.